This 72-nucleotide transfer RNA is filed under the name Camelus bactrianus (Bactrian camel). It matches the Rfam family "tRNA". Rfam says of the family: Transfer RNA (tRNA) molecules are approximately 80 nucleotides in length. Their secondary structure includes four short double-helical elements and three loops (D, anti-codon, and T loops). Lineage: Eukaryota; Metazoa; Chordata; Mammalia; Artiodactyla; Camelidae. RNAcentral also lists the same sequence under 2 other names. The record is from Rfam by way of RNAcentral.
CAGGGUCUAGCUCAGCGGUAGAGCACAUGCUUGGCAUGCAUGAGGUCCUGGGUUCAAUCUCCAGUACCUUUG